Molecule: ribosomal RNA, 428 nt
Filed under: uncultured bacterium
Lineage: Bacteria
Description: partial 16S ribosomal RNA
Rfam family: Bacterial small subunit ribosomal RNA
Source: RNAcentral
GUAGGGAAUAUUGCGCAAUGGACGAAAGUCUGACGCAGCGACGCCGCGUGAGUGAUGAAGGCCUUAGGGUCGUAAAGCUCUGUUGAAUGGGAAGAAAAAAAUGACGGUACCAUUCGAGGAAGGACCGGCUAACUUCGUGCCAGCAGCCGCGGUAAUACGAGGGGUCCUAGCGUUGUUCGGAAUCAUUGGGCGUAAAGGGUGUGUAGGUGGCCAUGUAAGUCAGGUGUGAAAGCCCCGGGCUCAACCCGGGAAGUGCACUUGAUACUGCGUGGCUUGAGUACCGAAGAGGGUAGUGGAAUUCCAGGUGUAGUGGUGAAAUACGUAGAUAUCUGGAGGAACACCGGUGGCGAAGGCGGCUACCUGGUCGAGUACUAACACUGAGACACGAAAGCAUGGGGAUCAAACAGGAUUAGAUACCCGUGUAGUCC